This 277-nucleotide ribosomal RNA is filed under the name uncultured bacterium. Its description in RNAcentral is "partial 16S ribosomal RNA". It matches the Rfam family "Bacterial small subunit ribosomal RNA", at positions 28 to 329 of the family's 1533-position model. The record is from RNAcentral.
AGCGAACGCUGGCGGCAUGCUUAACACAUGCAAGUCGCGCGGGGGGUUUCGGCCUCCAGCGGCGGACGGGUGAGUAGCGCGUAGGAACGUGUCGUUGGGUGGGGGACAACCCUGGGAAACUGGGGCUAAUACCGCAUGAGGCCUGUGGGCCAAAGCCGUGAGGCGCCUGAUGAGCGGCCUGCGUCCGAUUAGGUAGUUGGUGGGGUAAGGGCCUACCAAGCCUGCGAUCGGUAGCUGGUCUGAGAGGACGAUCAGCCACACUGGGACUGAGACACGG